UACAGAGGGGGCAAGCGUUGUUCGGAAUUACUGGGCGUAAAGGGCGCGUAGGCGGUCUGUUAAGUCGGACGUGAAAUCCCUCGGCUCAACCGGGGAACUGCGUCCGAUACUGGCGGGCUUGAAUUCGGGAGAGGGAUGUGGAAUUCCAGGUGUAGCGGUGAAAUGCGUAGAUAUCUGGAGGAACACCGGUGGCGAAGGCGGCAUCCUGGACCGACAUUGACGCUGAGGCGCGAAAGCCAGGGGAGCAAACGGG
This 253-nucleotide ribosomal RNA is filed under the name uncultured bacterium. RNAcentral describes it as "partial 16S ribosomal RNA". It matches the Rfam family "Bacterial small subunit ribosomal RNA", at positions 524 to 776 of the family's 1533-position model. The record is from RNAcentral.